Molecule: ribosomal RNA, 705 nt
Filed under: uncultured bacterium
Lineage: Bacteria
Description: bacterial SSU rRNA
Rfam family: Bacterial small subunit ribosomal RNA
Source: RNAcentral
GUCUACCAUGCAGUCGACGAGAACGGCCUCAAGCUUGCUUGAGGUGUCAGCUAAGUGGCGCACGGGUGAGUAAUGUAUAGCUAACGUGCCCCAUAGCGGGGGAUAACGGUUGGAAACGACCGCUAAUACCCUAUACUCCUUUUUAACAAAAGUUAAAAAGGGAAAGCGUUAAGUAGCGCUAUGGGAUCGGGCUGUAUCGUAUCAGCUAGUUGGUGGGGUAAAGGCCUACCAAGGCGAUGACGCGUAGCUGGUCUGAGAGGAUGAUCAGCCACACUGGAACUGAGACACGGUCCAGACUCCUACGGGAGGCAGCAGUGAGGAAUAUUGCGCAAUGGGGGCAACCCUGACGCAGCAACGCCGCGUGGAGGAAGACGCUCUUCGGAGUGUAAACUCCUUUUCUGAGGGAAGAAGGAUGACGGUACCUCAGGAAUAAGCGCCGGCUAACUCCGUGCCAGCAGCCGCGGUAAUACGGGGGGCGCGAGCGUUACUCGGAAUCACUGGGCGUAAAGGGCGCGUAGGCGGUUAAAUAAGUCGGGUGUGAAAGCCCACAGCUCAACUGUGGAACUGCAUCCGAAACUGUUUAACUAGAGUCCGGGAGAGGUGGAUGGAAUUAGUGGUGUAGGGGUAAAAUCCGUAGAGAUCACUAGGAAUACCGAUUGCGAAGGCGAUCCACUGGAACGGUACUGACGCUGAGGCGCGAAAGCG